RNAcentral lists this long non-coding RNA (1283 nucleotides) under Citrus x clementina. Its description in RNAcentral is "Citrus clementina (C. clementina) long non-coding RNA (CCLE_LNC004652)". The record is from RNAcentral. Lineage: Eukaryota; Viridiplantae; Streptophyta; Magnoliopsida; Sapindales; Rutaceae.
AAAAAAAAGCGUGAAACACGUGUUGGAUUACAUACAAAUUGUUUGUUUGUGGGGGAAUUUCUCUAAAAGAAGGAAAGUAAAGCACAAAAGCAAAAAUAAAGCAGCUAUGUCAGCUGCAAGUUGCCAUAUAUACAGUUAAGUCAACUUUCUUAUGAAGCUUAACCGCGCGAUCCAUGAAUAGUUAUAAUAAAUAUGAUGCCAGGAACCGACCCCGCAUUCAUCUCUCAGUACGUCCGUGCAUGCAUGCAUGCCACUUGGCUCUAGAUGACUCCACUGAAUUAAGUUGACAUUAAAAUUUUCUUUUCAUGUAAGUUGUUGUACGUACGUGGAUAUGAUACCUAGCUACCAAAUAAGCCAACCUUUUCUCUCAAGUGACCCUACAAGUAAUAUAUAAAACUGACCCUUCGCUCAAUCUCGGGCCAGUGUAAUUUAGCAAUCUGAUUCCUCAUAUUUAGUAUUAGUAAAUAUGCCUUUUCUUCUUCUUUUUUUCCUGAAGUAUACAUGUAUGUGAUCAUAAUUUUGACGUUUAUCGAUCCCCUGUCCAACAUGAAGAAAAAGUGAUGAGCAAGCGUGUAUAUCAGAUCUAACCUAGCUGCCCAGGACUCCAAAUGGUGACGACGCGCUUCAAGAAACACAGAGAAUUCAUUGAAUAUAUAAUCCUACUAUUAUUAUAAGAGAAGUCUCUCAAAUGUCAAGUUAUAGAAUAUAUUAUACUGUUGUACCUUUUUAGUUAUUCCUUACGAUUACGAAGAUAUAUAUAGAAUUUUCUUUUAAUCAAAAUCCUUAACUGUCAUGCAUCAUGCAUGUUAUAUGAUAAUCUCUGAAAAAAGCAUCACCCUUUCUUCUUGAUGCCUCGAAUCGUACUUGCUGAAUCAGUAUAAGUUCUCCUAAAAAGCUAAGAUCUCAAGUUUGCAGCCCUGUCGACUACGCUUGAAUAAUGCUUUCCUUUCCUUUGUCAAUUAACCCUAAUUCUUCAAACUAUUAAUGCACGUCCCGACUCCCGCAUGCAUCAGUUAAUAAAAGAAAAUUUAUUGAAUAUGUUAAAAUCAUAUCUUGACAAUAAUUAGGAGGAUAAUUAGGGUUAGUUUGGUAAUAUUAUAGUUUUAAAAUAAUUAUUUUUAGUUGUACUAUAAAAAUAAUCAGUUGUGAAGAUAAACAGUUAAAUGUUUAAUACAAUUUAUUUUUAAAAGUAUUAUGAGUUUUAAAAGCAGUCGUAUGUGUUUAGUAAAUCUUAUUAUGUUGCUAUAAGAAUGAAUGAAUUAGAUAUAAUAUUAAAUAAAAUU